CACAGGUAACGUCUUAGUGAUAAAGUUUCCCAGAAACUUGUGUGUCAAAAGGUUUACCUCUGAAGGACCCGGUUCAGGGUGUGGGCAGCUUUCUUUGCGUUCAAAGUCCAAUGACGAAAAUAUGACAGCAGACAUUCAAAUGGAAAAAACUGCAGUGAGGAAAAAAAGUACUCGCUGGAACUUAACUUGGAUGGUAGAUGAUGAGGAAACGAUGCCAUAUAGAAAACUAUAUGUCUCUGACGGAUUAUGAAGAAAUUGCAUGACAUGGCUAGAAAAUAAGAUUGGAGUUCACCUUGGCAUGGUAUUCAUAAAAGGGAAGCCCUAAGAUGUCGGACAUUGUAGCUCCAAUGCAAAAUGGUAGAGUUGAAUCGUUUUACCUUUCGUCUGG
Molecule: long non-coding RNA, 388 nt
Organism: Macrobrachium nipponense
Lineage: Eukaryota; Metazoa; Arthropoda; Malacostraca; Decapoda; Palaemonidae
Exons: 3
Source: RefSeq, a predicted model, not a curated record